Molecule: long non-coding RNA, 1722 nt
Filed under: Sinocyclocheilus anshuiensis
Lineage: Eukaryota; Metazoa; Chordata; Actinopteri; Cypriniformes; Cyprinidae
Description: lncRNA (ENSSANG00000007078.1)
Source: RNAcentral
UGACAUCUUGUCUUAAAAUGCGAGAGGAUGGAUAGUGCAAUCAGCCCUGCGUCAGAGUUUAGUCUCUCCAAUGGAUUUGUCAAUAGCGUGUUCAACGUUUCAGUUGACGAAGAGAGCAAAGCUGAGAUCUCAUGGAUUCCAGAGUGCAAUUCCUCAGACUCCAUUAUUCCCGGUCAGACGCUCAGAAGAGAAAAACAGGAACCGGUCCGGCGCUCCAGGAUGGCGGCCAUCUGGAGGAUCCUGCAGCGCCGCAAGACCCCCUGGGACCUGGAUAGACGACCUCACUCCGUCAUCCUCCCCGGUGAAGCGUCCUUCCUCAAACUGUCCAUCACUAACAAAGUCAGGCCCUUCAAGAAACUAAAGUCCCCAUCUGUUUUUAGAGGAAAAGCCGGUAAGAUUUCUGAUGCCAAAUUCAACACUGACCUGAAAGACGAGGCUGAUUAUGUGUACAUGUGCAAGGACUCUCCUUCUUCAGACUUCAAGCAUGUGUUUAGGAAUAAAGCCAAGAGACAUUCAUUCGCAGGACACACUGCAGACUUCUACUGUUUGUUUGAGGACAUCGCCCCCGCUGGAACCCCAGACAACGUCCAGCAGGAGACCAAAGACACCGUUAGCAACCAAAACGGCUGUAAGUUGUCAGAAAGAGUCGUUUAUACAAAGAAAUCUCACCCCAGCUUCUUUAACUACAACAAUUCGACAGAACAGGAAGACUGCUUUACGAAGCAAAGCCUCAAGAUACCUCAAAGAAGACGAUGGGCCAGAGGGGGUGACGUUUUGAAUUACUUGAGAAGAAUUUCCCUCAAAGAAAAGGGAAGUCAGACGCUGGCAGAGAGUAGUUUUGAGUCAAUGAAUGCCCUGGACAAAACCAUCGAUUCUGACUACGGCUCGGUCAACUUUGAACUGGUCAAGGAUUUGAACUCUGCACCUGAACAAACAGGGAUUCAUGGCAAAAGCAGCCAUUUUCGAGGCCUUCUCCGAUUUUUCAACACCGUGGCUGAGACUGCAAUGAAAUGGAGAAACUCGUCCCGCUCGUUCUCCCCCCCUGAAGGCCAGCAGUCGCCUCUCGGAGUGAGAAAGACACAGGAGUCCGGAGAACUCGUGCCUUUGACAGUCAGGAGCGGUGAGCAGAAAGCCGAUACCUCAGUUCAGGGUAAACCCACGUUAUCUGCUGACAUGAGCAAGGCGGUCUCGCCUGAUAAUGCCAUGGUGGAUUGCUCUCCUCCUGUGGUGCUGAAGGCCUGGAGAACAUGCCCAGACUCUCCGAGAGAUAACAGCUCCCUGUGUAAUAACUCGGAUGAAUCCCAGUCUCAGCUCAGCUCAACUCACAUCUCUCUAGCCACCAUCGAGAGCCACCCGAGAUAUGAAGAACCAGAGCCACCAAAAGAGACACAGACUGGCUUUGAAAACACGGCGAUCCCACAUCACUCAUCUAGCAAAGCUGUUGAUGAAAACCAAGAUGUUUGCACGGAUAGGAAAAAGAUGAACUGCCCGGAGGACGUGUUUAAGGAGAUGCUCUGGAUGCAGUGCAAUGUGAAAUGCAGUGUUGUUGUAAGGUUACCUGACGUGCUGCAGUGAUUUUCAGACCCUGUCGCGGCCCCGGGGCCAGUCGCCUGCAGAUCCUCCUCUCAAAGCUCUGCUCCAGCGGUGUCGCUCUCUGCCGCUGCCCACCGCACUGUCAGCCCUGGAGCCCAUGGCCCUCACACACAUGCUCACUCCUCCAGG